AACGCUAGCUACAGGCUUAACACAUGCAAGUCGCGGGGCAGCAUUUUCUUAGCUUGCUAAGGAAGAUGGCGACCGGCGCACGGGUGAGUAACGCGUAUCCAACCUUCCCAUGUCCACGGGAUAGCCCGUCGAAAGGCGGAUUAAUACCGUAUGAGGUCACAUGCGGGCAUCUAAUUGUGACGAAAGGUUUUGCGGACAUGGAUGGGGAUGCGUCCGAUUAGCUAGUUGGCGGGGUAACGGCCCACCAAGGCGACGAUCGGUAGGGGUUCUGAGAGGAAGGUCCCCCACAUUGGAACUGAGACACGGUCCAAACUCCUACGGGAGGCAGCAGUGAGGAAUAUUGGUCAAUGGACGCAAGUCUGAACCAGCCAAGUAGCGUGCAGGAUGACGGCCCUAUGGGUUGUAAACUGCUUUUAUGCGGGGAUAAAGUUUGGGAUGUAUCCCAUAUUGCAGGUACCGCAUGAAUAAGGACCGGCUAAUUCCGUGCCAGCAGCCGCGGUAAUACGGAAGGUCCGGGCGUUAUCCGGAUUUAUUGGGUUUAAAGGGAGCGUAGGCCGUCUUUUAAGCGUGUUGUGAAAUACUGUCGCUCAACGACAGAGGUGCAGCGCGAACUGGGAGACUUGAGUGCGCGGAAUGCGGGCGGAAUUCGUCGUGUAGCGGUGAAAUGCUUAGAUAUCACGAAGAACUCCGAUUG
RNAcentral lists this ribosomal RNA (694 nucleotides) under uncultured bacterium. RNAcentral describes it as "bacterial SSU rRNA". It matches the Rfam family "Bacterial small subunit ribosomal RNA", at positions 32 to 715 of the family's 1533-position model. The record is from RNAcentral.